This 84-nucleotide transfer RNA is filed under the name Echinostoma caproni. It matches the Rfam family "tRNA". From Rfam's summary of the family: Transfer RNA (tRNA) molecules are approximately 80 nucleotides in length. Their secondary structure includes four short double-helical elements and three loops (D, anti-codon, and T loops). Lineage: Eukaryota; Metazoa; Platyhelminthes; Trematoda; Plagiorchiida; Echinostomatidae. The record is from Rfam by way of RNAcentral.
GGCUUCGUAGCUCAGCUGGUAGAGCGUACGCUGCACAAAAGCGUGGGCGGCGUCCAUGCGUGGGUUCGAAUCCCAUCGAGGCUA